Molecule: long non-coding RNA, 355 nt
Organism: Pyrus x bretschneideri (Chinese white pear)
Lineage: Eukaryota; Viridiplantae; Streptophyta; Magnoliopsida; Rosales; Rosaceae
Exons: 2
Source: RefSeq, a predicted model, not a curated record
CUGUUUAUCCCUCUUUGGAGCUGUUCAUCAAUGGCGAAUGGUUUAGGCUGCCUGAACUUCCAACUUUCAGCUAUUACUUUCAAAGUGGAGAUGACCCUCACUAUCCAAGUCCUUACAACUUCUCUCGUGUAAACGUUUGUACCUUUUCUUUUCCAUCGUUUUUGUUAAAGAUUUGUGGUGGAGGUAGUUCCAAAUCGUUUCACUCUGUUUCGCUCAAGUUUUGAGUUUAAACGUUGCAGAUCAAAUUAUUUAUGAAGCGGGAUUUAAAAAAAAAAAAGGAUAAGAUAAUCCGCACUAAAUUCAUCUAAAUUAUGAAUAUAAAAACAGAAAUUUGAACUUGGGUGUAAAAGAGAAA